Long non-coding RNA from Pogoniulus pusillus (Red-fronted tinkerbird), 385 nucleotides. RefSeq lists it as uncharacterized. The record is from RefSeq and is a predicted model, not a curated record. Lineage: Eukaryota; Metazoa; Chordata; Aves; Piciformes; Lybiidae. The transcript is spliced from 3 exons.
AGCUGCAAGUUCCUUAAAAAUCACUGCUUUGUCAGCUGCUUGUGGAGCCUUCUCAGCUGCAGGAGAUAACUGUGGGCUUGCCUCAAAGUUGCUGCAUAAUCGAGAGCUUGACUGUUGCACCGGGAUACAAGGACGUGCCCCAAAUUUGGAUGGCAGGUGACAAGUGUAUGACCAGAUCAAAUGCACCAGCGACAAGUUUGGAGGUGAUACCAAGCUGAGUGGUGUGGUUGAUAAGUCUGCAGCACAGGAUGCCAUCCAGAGGGACCUGGACAGGCUGGAAAGGAUGAAAUACAGCGAGGGACACCUCUCUUACUCUCCAGACUUCUGGAAAAGGAGGCUUGCUUGAACUAGCCAGCGGCAUAUUGCUAAAGGAAGCACCAACUGA